GUUGUUUUAUUAUUUUUACAAGAAAAAAGAAUAAAUCGAUCCCUGACUUUUUGAUUCGCGGAUAUUUAAGUCCCGAUGAUUUAAAAAUACAUUUAAGUCCCUGACCUUUUCAAAAUCUGGACAUAUCAAUUUCUGAGUCUAAUUUGUUUAAUUUUAAAAACUCUUUCACGUGUGCAUCCGUAUUAACCAAGUCAGUACAACGGGAGUCACGUUUAAUUUUUUCGUUGAGUCUGACAGACCCAAGUGAACAUGAGGGAUCAAUAUGUCUAGGUUUUGAAAAUGUCAGAGAUUUAAAUAUAUUUUCAAAUCCUGAAGGACUUAAAUGUCUACGGAUCAAAAGGUCAGUGAC
Molecule: non-coding RNA, 349 nt
Organism: Arachis ipaensis
Lineage: Eukaryota; Viridiplantae; Streptophyta; Magnoliopsida; Fabales; Fabaceae
Source: RefSeq, a predicted model, not a curated record